RNAcentral lists this ribosomal RNA (257 nucleotides) under uncultured bacterium. RNAcentral's name for it is "partial 16S ribosomal RNA". It matches the Rfam family "Bacterial small subunit ribosomal RNA", at positions 524 to 776 of the family's 1533-position model. The record is from RNAcentral.
UACGGGAGGGGCAAGCGUUAUCCGGCGUGACUAGGCGUAAAGUGUUCGUAGAUUGUAAAAAUAAGUUAUUAGUUAAAAAAUUUAAAGCUCAACUUUAAAAAAAGCUUUUAAUACUGUUUUACUUGAGUUUUUAUGCAGAAGAGUAGAAUUUUACAUGGAAGGGUGAAAUCUACAGAUAUGUAAAGGAAUACCAAUAGCGAAGGCAACUCUUUAGUAAAAACUGACAUUGAGGAACGAAAGUGUAGGUAGCAAACAGG